RNAcentral lists this ribosomal RNA (345 nucleotides) under uncultured bacterium. RNAcentral describes it as "bacterial SSU rRNA". It matches the Rfam family "Bacterial small subunit ribosomal RNA", at positions 457 to 793 of the family's 1533-position model. The record is from RNAcentral.
UAGCGUAUUCGUUUGACGUUAGCGACAGAAGAAAGCACCGGCUAACUCCGUGCCAGCAGCCGCGGUAAUACGGAGGGUGCGAGCGUUAAUCGGAAUUACUGGGCGUAAAGCGCAUGCAGGUGGUUUGUUAAGUCAGAUGUGAAAGACCCGGGGCGUCAACCUACGGAAUAGCAUUUGUAAACUAGGCAGACUAGAGUACUGUAGAGGGGGGUAGGAAUUUCAGGUGUAGCGGUGAAAUGCGUAGAGAUCUGAAGGAAUACCGGUGGCGAAGGCGGCCCCCUCGGACAGAUACUGACACUCAGAUGCGAAAGCGUGGGGAGCAAACAGGAUUAGAUACCCUGGUAG